GAUCUAGCAAAUCCAUUUAUUUCUAGGUACAACUCAAAAGAACUGAAAGCAGGAACUCAGAUGCUCAUAUGACAACAGCCAAAAAGUAGAAACAAACCAAUUGUCAAUCAACAGAAGAACAGAUAAACAAUGUGUUACUUACAUACAAUGGACUAUUAUUCAGCAAUUUUAAAAAAUGAAGUUCUGGAGUUCCUGUGUGGCUCAGCAGAAACAAAUGUGACUAGUAACCAUGAGGACACCAGUUCGAUCCCUGGCCUUGCUCAGUGGGUUAAGGAUCCGGUGUUGCCAAGAGCUGUGGUGUGGUUCACAAACGCAACUCAGAUCUGGCAUGGCUGUGGCUGUGGCGUAGGCCAGUGGCUAUAACUCUGAUUUGACCCCUAGCCCGGGGACUUCCAUAUGCCUCGGGUGCAGCCCUAAAAAGACAAAAAAAAAAAAAGUUCUGAUACAUGCUAUAACAAGGAUGAACCUUGAAAACAUUGCUAGGUGAAAUAAACCAGACACCAAAGGUCAAAUAUCUAUGAUGCCACUGGCAUGAAAUAUCUAGAAUAGGCAAAUUCACUGAGGCAGAAAGCACACCAGGGACUGGAGGGAAGGGCAAUGGGGAGAUAUGCCUUAAUGAAUAUAGAGAGUUUCUGUUUGGGGUGAAACAGGUAAUAGAUGCAUGACACUGUUAAUGUACCUAAUGCCACUGAAUUACACACUUUAAAAUGAUAAAAUUGUAAAGUUUAUGUUAUGCAUAUUUUAAGACAUAAAAAAUUUUAAGGUAGUUAUUGAAAUAUAAAAUAAAUAAUUUUUGAAAAGGAUUCAGGUACUAACCUUAAAGAUCCUGUCAUAAGCUUAACUGUGGGAGUUCCCAUAGUGGUGCAGUGGUUAACGAAUCCGACUAGGAACCAUGAGGUUGCAGGUUCGGUCCCUGCCCUUGCUCAGUGGGUUAACGAUCCGGCGUUGCCAUGAGCUGUGGUGUAGGUCAUAGACGAGGCUUGGAUCCCAAGUUACUGUGACUGUGGAAUAGGCUGGCAGCUGCAGCUCAGAGUCGACCUGAGAACUUCCACAUGACACAGGUGCAUCCCUAAAAAACCAAAAAAAAAAAAAAAAAGUACGUAUCCUGAAAUAAUGCAAUAAGAAUUCAUAGCAUCAUUUAAUAGAGUGACUAUACAUCCUAAUUAGUCCAGGACAGUCCCAGUUCAUGGCUAUUGACCCAAUGUAAUUCUUAAAUAGCAACCUUUUCAUUCUUAAAAUUGUCUGAUUGGAAAUAAAUUAUACAAUCACUCUAUUUAUGAAUUUUUCUUUCCAAAUAAACUGAACCUAAAUCUCAUAAAGCUUUACCAAUUCAAGUUCUCAACCUUGGCUGCAGACUAAAGUCACCUGGGAAAUUUUUAAAAUACUAAUACCUGGAGUUCCCAUCAUGGCUCAGCAGUUAGCAAACCCGACUAGUAUCCAUGAGUACAGGUUUGAUCCCUGGCCUCGCUCAGGGGGUUAAGGAUCCGGCAUUGCUGUGAGCUGUGGUGUAGGUCGCAGAAGCAGCUCAGAUCUGGCAUGGUUGUGGCUGUGGCACAGGCUCAGGUUAGACCCCUAGGCUGGGAACCUCCAUACGCUGAGGAUGCGGCCUAAAAAUAAAAGGCAAAAAAAAAAAAUACUGAUACUUACAACCCACCCUAUGAAUUCUGACUUACAUGAUCUGAGAAUCAGGGUAUUUAAAAACUCUCCAGGUAAUUCAAAAGUUUCUGCCAAAAUAAUGACCACACUAUAUCUAUUUUGUGGGAAAUGUAAAAGGUAACUGAACAUGUUAAAUACCACAGAAUUCAAUCAGCCAAAACCAGAAUGUGGAAAAUUCUCUUGGACAAAUGAGAGAGUUUUUCCAACAAAUAAAUAGCACAAGAAAAAGUACAGCGGCUGGGAAGGACUGGGGGAGGGGGAAGGAGGAAUAAAGUUAACAGAAACUUAAGAGACAUACAUAAAUCAAAUGAAAUGGUAAACCUUUUUUGGAUGGUGACUUCAACAAAACAACUGUAGAAAGACAUUUAAAGAAUCAGAGAAAUGUGAAGUUUCCGAUGUAGCCCAAUGGGAUUAGCUAGGUCUCUGGGGCAGCCAAAAAGAAAAAAAAAAAAAAAUCAGAGAAAUCUGAACUGGAUUAAGGAACACUUAAUUUUGUUAGGUGUAAUAGUAUUGUGGUUGUUUGCUUUGUUUUGUUUUUAAUUCUUACCUGUUAGAAAUACAUACCAAAGUAUUUACAGAUUAAACGAUGUGAUACUUGAGAUUUCUUUGAAAUUAAUUCAACCACAAAAAAAAGAAAGAAGUUAGGUGAGACAGGAAUGGCAAAAUGUUGGUAACUGUUUAACAGUCAAACCUGGGUUUUAAAAGUAUGGGGUUUCGGAGUUCCUGUCAUGGCGCAGUGGUUAACGAAUCCGACUAGGAACCAUGAGGUUGUGGGUUCCAUCCCUGCCCUUGCUCAGUGGGUUAACGAUCCGGCGUUGCCGUGAGCUGUGGUGUAGGUCGCAGACGUGGCUCGGAUCCUGUGUUGCUGUGGCUCUGGCGUAGGCUGGCAGCUGCAGCUCCAAUUCAACCCCUAGCCUGGGAACCUCCAUAUGCCGCGGGAGCGGCCCAAGAAAUGGCAAAAAGACAAAAAAAAAAAAAAAAGUAUGGGGUUUCAUUGUACCAGUCCAUAUACUUCAUACUCUAAAUUGAUAUGGAAUUAUCAGACAUAAUAAAAAUAUUUUACCUAUAAGUGUGUAGUAUACAUGUAAGUAUAUGUUACAUACACAAUAUAUAGACACGUGAGUAUGUAUGUUAUAAGACAUAUUGGGAAAUGUAAAAAAAGAUGAACACAUAUAAUCCUUGACCUCAAAGAGUAGCAGGUAGUCUAUAUGUUGGACAAAAAAGAUUUGCUCAGGUACCAUCUUUGGUCAAAGGCAGGAAGGCAGCUAGCUCAAGCUUCUAUGAAACCAGAAAGAUGGUAAGAAUGAAAGUAAAAUAACAUUAUAAGUACUCCCUAAGCAUAAGAAAGUGGUUGUGGAUAUACUAUUGAUAAACACCAGAAACUCUACAUAACCUGACUCUGAAAAGCCCAUGUUCUUACUGUUAUGCUGAGGCAUAUGAAAACAAAUUUUUGUAGGUCAAAUGGUCAAAUAAUAGCAAUUCUGUAUGGUUCAACCUAAUACUAUGUUUUAACACCU
RNAcentral lists this long non-coding RNA (3173 nucleotides) under Sus scrofa (pig). RNAcentral's name for it is "lncRNA (ENSSSCG00015035913.1)". The record is from RNAcentral. Lineage: Eukaryota; Metazoa; Chordata; Mammalia; Artiodactyla; Suidae.